RNAcentral lists this transfer RNA (72 nucleotides) under Ictidomys tridecemlineatus (thirteen-lined ground squirrel). RNAcentral's name for it is "Spermophilus tridecemlineatus (thirteen-lined ground squirrel) tRNA". It matches the Rfam family "tRNA". Rfam says of the family: Transfer RNA (tRNA) molecules are approximately 80 nucleotides in length. Their secondary structure includes four short double-helical elements and three loops (D, anti-codon, and T loops). The record is from Rfam by way of RNAcentral. Lineage: Eukaryota; Metazoa; Chordata; Mammalia; Rodentia; Sciuridae.
GGAGGUGUAGCUCAGUGGUAAAGCGCUUGCCAGCCAUGCAUGAGUUCCUGGGUUUCAUCCUCAGUACCCCCA